CAGUCGCCACGGUAAUACGAAGGGGGCUAGCGUUGUUCGGAAUUACUGGGCGUAAAGCGUGCGCAGGCGGUUAUAUAAGUCAGAUGUGAAAUCCCCGGGCUCAACCUGGGAACUGCAUUUGAGACUGUAUGGCUAGAGUGUGUCAGAGGGGGGUAGAAUUCCACGUGUAGCAGUGAAAUGCGUAGAUAUGUGGAGGAAUACCGAUGGCGAAGGCAGCCCCCUGGGAUAACACUGACGCUCAUGCACGAAAGCGUGGGGAGCAAACAGGAUUAGAUACCCGGGUAGUCCCUGUCUCUUAUAU
This 301-nucleotide ribosomal RNA is filed under the name uncultured bacterium. RNAcentral's name for it is "partial 16S ribosomal RNA". It matches the Rfam family "Bacterial small subunit ribosomal RNA", at positions 509 to 809 of the family's 1533-position model. The record is from RNAcentral.